Molecule: non-coding RNA, 26 nt
Filed under: Drosophila melanogaster (fruit fly)
Lineage: Eukaryota; Metazoa; Arthropoda; Insecta; Diptera; Drosophilidae
Source: RNAcentral
UGGAAUGGAUGUGCUGCCUGAAGGAA